Molecule: ribosomal RNA, 878 nt
Filed under: Leotiomycetes sp. genotype 215
Lineage: Eukaryota; Fungi; Ascomycota; Leotiomycetes
Description: eukaryotic LSU rRNA
Rfam family: Eukaryotic large subunit ribosomal RNA (bases 281-878)
Source: RNAcentral
CGAUGAAGAACGCAGCGAAAUGCGAUAAGUAAUGUGAAUUGCAGAAUUCAGUGAAUCAUCGAAUCUUUGAACGCACAUUGCGCCCUCCGGUAUUCCGGGGGGCAUGCCUGUUCGAGCGUCAUUACAACCCUCAAGCUCUGCUUGGUGUUGAGCCCGCCCCGGCCUGCCCGGGGCUCGCUUCAAAGUCAGUGGCGGCCGCCGUCCGACCUUCAGCGCAGUAAUGCUCGCCGCUGUUAGGGAAGGGCAGCAAGGGCCGUCAUACAACCCCCACACACAAGGUUGACCUCGGAUCAGGUAGGGAUACCCGCUGAACUUAAGCAUAUCAAUAAGCGGAGGAAAAGAAACCAACAGGGAUUGCCUCAGUAACGGCGAGUGAAGCGGCAACAGCUCAAAUUUGAAAGCUGGCUCCUUCGGGGCCCGCGUUGUAAUUUGUAGAGGAUGCUUCGGGCGCGGCACCGGUCUAAGUUCUCUGGAACGAGACGUCAUAGAGGGUGAGAAUCCCGUAUGUGACUGGCUGCCUGUGCCCAUGUGAAGCUCCUUCGACGAGUCGAGUUGUUUGGGAAUGCAGCUCAAAAUGGGAGGUGUACUCCUUCUAAAGCUAAAUAUUGGCCAGAGACCGAUAGCGCACAAGUAGAGUGAUCGAAAGAUGAAAAGCACUUUGGAAAGAGAGUUAAACAGUACGUGAAAUUGUUGAAAGGGAAGCGCUUGCAAUCAGACUUGCGCGGCGUCGAUCAGCCUGGGUUCUCCCUGGUGCACUCGGCGCCGCUCAGGCCAGCAUCAGUUUCGGCGGUGGGAUAAAGGCCUAGGGAACGUGGGUCCCCUCGGGGACCGUUAUAGCCCUAGGUGCAAUGCCGCCUGCCGGGACUGAGGACCGCGCU